GAUGAAGAACGUAGCGAAAUGCGAUACGUAAUGUGAAUUGCAGAAUUCAGUGAAUCAUCGAGUCUUUGAACGCACAUUGCGCCCCCCGGCAUUCCGGGGAGCAUGCCUGUUCGAGCGUCUCUUGGAAUACCCCUCACGCCGGCGGAGGCGUGGUCAUGGCGGCGGUGGCGUGCCCCGAGAGGGAGGCCACCGCGCUGGAAUCCAUGGGCGGACGCCUGCCGCGUGGCCGAGCGUGAUAAGACGCACUGGCGCUCGCGCGCGGCGAGGCUGCCGGCCCUGGCCCGCUCGUCGGGCGGGGACAGCAACACUUGGGAACUCCUCGAAUCAGGUAGGGAUACCCGCUGAACUUAAGCAUAUCAAUAAGCGGAGGA
This 371-nucleotide unclassified non-coding RNA is filed under the name soil metagenome. RNAcentral's name for it is "partial contains 5.8S ribosomal RNA, internal transcribed spacer 2, and large subunit ribosomal RNA". The stretch from base 1 to 120 matches the Rfam family "5.8S ribosomal RNA", at positions 35 to 154 of the family's 154-position model. The record is from RNAcentral.